This 541-nucleotide long non-coding RNA is filed under the name Astyanax mexicanus (Mexican tetra). RNAcentral's name for it is "lncRNA (ENSAMXG00005001996.1)". Lineage: Eukaryota; Metazoa; Chordata; Actinopteri; Characiformes; Acestrorhamphidae. The record is from RNAcentral.
AUAAAACACAAAAAUACACAUGCCCUACAUAUUACAUAUUACAUAUUACAUGCCAUUCAAGCAUUCUAACUGUUGAUCAUUUAGGAUGUGUAGUGGAAGACAUUUCAAAGAGAAUCAGAGCUUACACGCAAAGGACUUAUAAAAUAAUUAAACAUGUGACAGACAUAUAGUUUAAGCUUCUAAGGGGCGGGUUUUAGACUGACUUUGGGGUGGCAUUUUUGUUGGACCUGGCAACCCUGCACACAAACAGAAGUUACGUCCAACCAUUCAUCACACACACCACUCAAACUCAAACGCCGCGGGAAAAAGUCGCAUGCUGUCACUCUCCGCCGAUUAUUCGAUAUAAAAUCACACGCUGCGAUGUUUAAUCACCGAGACUGUGAUGUUAAGCUGUCUGUGGAGGAAACCUGUCCACACCCAAGUGCUGCACAGCGCCGGACAGGUGAAGAUGAGGACCUGCUCAAUCCUGACUUUACCCACACAACCCGCUGUGGAUUCCUCAAAUGUGUAGGCAAGUUUCAUUAAUAUUGUUAUUUGGUAA